RNAcentral lists this unclassified non-coding RNA (207 nucleotides) under Zea mays. RNAcentral describes it as "misc RNA Zm00001eb181560". The record is from RNAcentral. Lineage: Eukaryota; Viridiplantae; Streptophyta; Magnoliopsida; Poales; Poaceae.
CUGGGGGACGGUCUCCGACCAUUGGCCUCCCUUCACCGCCGACUAGCGACCACGUGCUCAGUGACGCCUAGGUCAUCGGCGCCGAAGUUUGGAGGCCCUGUACGUGCUUCACGUGCGGGUUCUUCAAGAAUGCCUCUGUCACUUCCUCCAUGGCCGAAGUCUGGGAGCGGCAAGAUAUUAUUUCUCCAAUUGCUAAACUUGUACUAA